AAUUUAAAGAUUAUUUUUUUUUUUAUUUUUUUUAAUAUUUUAAUAUAAAAAAAUUUAAUAUAAAAAGUUAUUGUAUUUUAGAUUUAAUUUUUUAAAUAAUAGUUUAUUAAGUAAUUUAAUUGAAAUUUUGAAAAAUUUUAUUUUAAUUAAUUAAAAGUAAAUUUUAUUUAUUGUACCUUGUGUAUCAGGGUUUAUUAAUUAAAUAAUAUAUAUUUAUAUUAUUCUCGAAAUUAAAAGAUCUAUUUAAUUAAUAAUUUUUAUUGUAGUAAAAAUAUUUUUAAUUUUUAAAUUGUAAUGAAAUGUUAUUCGUUUUUAAUGAUAUCUAGUUUUUUAAUAAAUGAAUUUAAUUCAGAUAUUAUAUUUAAAUAAUUAUUAAAUUUUAAUAAAAAUUUUAUUAAUAUUAAGAUUUUAAGGGAUAAGCUUUAAAGUUAUUUUUAAAAUAUUAAAAAUAAUUUUUUUUAAAUUUGUAAUCUUAGAAAUAGUUAUUAUUAAUAAAAAUGUUAUAAUUUAUUUAAGUAUUAAAUAUAAUUUUUAUUUGUAUUUAAAAUUUUAUUAAAAAAUAAUUUUUAAUAAUAAAAAUUUUAUUAUAAUGAUAAAAUUAGUAAAAUUAAUUUGUUUAAAAAAUUUUAUUUUAUUUAUUUGAAAGGUUAUAUAAAGGAAUUAGGCAAAAAUUUUAUUCGCCUGUUUAACAAAAACAUGUCUUUUUGAUUUAUAAUUUAAAGUCUGAUCUGCUCUAUGAAGUAAAUUUAAAUGGCUGCAGUAUUUUAACUGUACAAAGGUAGCAUAAUAAUUUGUCUUUUAAUUAAAGGCUGGUAUGAAAGAUUUGACGAGAUAAAUUCUGUCUCUAUUUAAAUAUUAAUUUAAUUUAAUUUUUAAGUUAAAAAGCUUAAAUUUUUUUAAAGGACGAGAAGACCCUAUAGAGUUUUAUAAAUAAAUUUAUUAGUAAAUUUUAUUUUUUUUAUUAAUAAAUUUAUUUAUUUUAUUGGGGCGAUAAUAAAAUUUAAUGAACUUUUUAAUAUAAAUAACAUUAAUUAAUGAAUUUUUGAUCCUAUUAUUUAGAUUAUUAGAAUAAAUUACCUUAGGGAUAACAGCGUUAUUUUUUUUAGAGUACUUAUCGAUAAAAAAGAUUGCGACCUCGAUGUUGGAUUAAAAUUAAAUUUAGGUGAAGAAGCUUAAUAUUUUAGGUCUGUUCGACCUUAAAAAUUUUACAUGAUCUGAGUUCAAACCGGUGUAAGCCAGGUUGGUUUCUAUCCUUAUAAGUAUAAAAAUUUUUAGUACGAAAGGACCAAAAUUUUAGAAUAAAUUUUUAUUAAAAUGAAUAUUAUUAAGUUAAAAUUAA
RNAcentral lists this ribosomal RNA (1339 nucleotides) under Strongylogaster xanthocera. RNAcentral describes it as "16S ribosomal RNA". The stretch from base 1084 to 1242 matches the Rfam family "Archaeal large subunit ribosomal RNA", at positions 2544 to 2703 of the family's 2987-position model. The record is from RNAcentral. Lineage: Eukaryota; Metazoa; Arthropoda; Insecta; Hymenoptera; Tenthredinidae.